This 253-nucleotide ribosomal RNA is filed under the name uncultured bacterium. RNAcentral's name for it is "partial 16S ribosomal RNA". It matches the Rfam family "Bacterial small subunit ribosomal RNA", at positions 524 to 776 of the family's 1533-position model. The record is from RNAcentral.
UACAGAGGGUGCGAGCGUUGUCCGGAAUCACUGGGCGUAAAGGGCGCGUAGGCGGCUUUUCAAGCGUGCGGUGAAAGCUCGGGGCUUAACUCCGAGUCUGCCGUGCGAACUGGGAGGCUUGAGUCUGGUAGAGGUCGAUGGAAUUCCGGGUGUAGCGGUGGAAUGCGCAGAUAUCAGGAGGAACACCGGUGGCGAAGGCGGGUCUCUGGGCCGAUACUGACGCUGAGGAGCGAAAGCGUGGGGAGCGAACAGG